This 863-nucleotide long non-coding RNA is filed under the name Equus caballus (horse). Its description in RNAcentral is "lncRNA (ENSECAG00000047456.1)". The record is from RNAcentral. Lineage: Eukaryota; Metazoa; Chordata; Mammalia; Perissodactyla; Equidae.
GUUUUCCUCGUAAUGUUCCUUCAAAUAUUGCAUCUCCCUGAGGCCUUUCCUCUCCAGAUUAAUUGUUCUCUUGUCAUGCAGGUUUAUCUUUGAUGGACAUGAUUUCCUAGACUUUCACUACCCUGUUCAUCCUCCUUUCAAUGUAUUCUCAUUGGCGAUCUCUCCCUUCAAACAAUCCAGAACUGAAUGCAGUACUGCAGGUGUGAUCUAUCCAUGUGAUGCCCAGAAGGCUGAUUUAUUCAUUGACCUGGAAUCCCUCACUCAGUUCUAUUAUUACAGCCUAAGUCAGCGUUUUCUACUGUGAUCUGAUGCAUUUCCUGUUAGAGUAGAAUGACCUUAUAGUCUUUUUCAGAUGAAUUACUAUUAAUCUAGUUCUCUUCCACUGUGUAACAUUUCAUUUUGUUAGUUUACCUUUCUGAUCCGGGGUGAUGAUUGUGUUGGUUGGUAUCUCUUUAUAGCAAUUCUAUCAACAAAGCAAAUUGGUAACCUUGUUAGUUUUCAGUCAUUUAUCAAUUUGGCAUUCUAUAAAAAGCUGCAAAACCAAGGGGUCUGAGAUCUGACACCUGAAAUGGCUGCAAUCAUUCAAAGGCACCCCUUUUCCUAUCCCUUGCUGAUUGACCCCCUCCUAUUGUGCCUUUCAAUACAUAGCCUACAACUCUAUAUUUAGGGCAAUGACCAGCCAUCCACACAGGCUCCAAACACUUCUCACUCUUCUCUAGGAUAGCUUCCCCUGUGAGUUUGGUGUUAGACUGAGAAGGAUUAUGUUCCUCUCUCACCUCGACCGCCUAUUGUGUGACAUUAUACUCUUUCCUGGAACUUUCUGUUGUUUCAUGCCCUAUAAAAUAAUAAACAAUGGUGACAGC